Molecule: long non-coding RNA, 1604 nt
Organism: Myotis daubentonii (Daubenton's bat)
Lineage: Eukaryota; Metazoa; Chordata; Mammalia; Chiroptera; Vespertilionidae
Source: RefSeq, a predicted model, not a curated record
CGGACAGCCGGGAGUCCUGCCUGCACCCUCUACCUCCGCGGGCUGGUGUCCCCGCUGGCUCCGGGCUGUGAUUUGAAUUUCAUCUCCGCUCUAGGAACCCUCUCCAGGAUCACAGGCUAACCCAGACUCUCCAUUCCUGAAGACGUACAGCUGCCCCCACACAAGGGAUUAAUUUACAGAGAGCAGAAGGAAGAGGGAGAGAGGAGUAGAAACAUCAGUGAAGAGAGAGAAUAAUUGAUCUGCUGCAUCCUGUGUGCUCCCUACUGAGGAUCAAGCCCACACCCCCAGCAUGUGCCCCCACUGGGAAUUAAACUGUGACCUGAUUCAUGGGUCCAUGUUCAACCACUGAGCAACACUGGCCUCGCUUUAAUAAUUAUUAAUGCCUGGCCAAUCUUGUUUCCUUUACACCCCACCCACUUCUCUUCUAUAUUAUUAUUUUCUUUUUUUAAGCAAAUUGAGGUAAAAGUGACAUAAUAUAAAAUUAAGCAUUUUAAAGCAUACAAUGCAGCAGCAUUUAGUACAUUCACAAUGUUGUGCAACCACCACCUCUGUCUAGUUUCAAAACAUUUUCAACUCCCCAAAGUAAAACUGCACACACAUUAAGCAGUCCCUCCCUUCCCCAGCCCCUGGCAACCACUAAUCUGCUUGCUGUCUCUAUGGAUUUAGUUUUCUGGAUAUUUCAUAGAAUAUGUGACAUUUUGAGUCUGCUUUCACUUAGCACAAUGUUUUCAAGGUUCAUCCAUGUCAUUGCUUCAUAUAAUUCAUUUUGCCAAUAUAUUGCAAUUUGUUUAACUAGUCCUCUGUUGACGGACAUUUGGAUUGCUUACACGUUUUUGCUAUUAUGAAUAAUGCUGCUAUGAACAUGUACGUACAUGGAUUAGUUCAAGUGCCUGCUCUCAAUUCUUGGCGGUAUAUUCCUAGAAGGAGAAUUGCCGGGUGUUUUAAAGGUAUCCAGAAUUUGUUUUAAUCAGGCAUGCAGACAUGGAAACCACUGUCAUGAAGGAAGAAGUUUAUGCUCAUCGACCCCUAGAACCAGGAGGUACAGCAUGUCACGCAGGGCCACAUGAGGAAGCACCAGAGUCGAUCAGGAGGCACAGGGAUCUGAGGAAAGUGUGGGCAAGAGCCUUUAUUAGGCUUUCUGUGGAAUAGGCAAGGCAGCGUGAGCGGUGUGAGAAUUGGCAAGGUUGCCCUAGUUGGUUGGUACCUGGCCAUGGGGUGAUUAGGGCAGGGGGAUAGUGGCCUGGAGUGGAGAGCCCAUAAAGGAGGUGGUUGGGGGUGUGGGCUCUGGGUUGAUUUGUUUGCAUGUGAAAGGCCCACUCACAGACCAGUGAGUUGUUAUUUCUAGGAAUUAAGCUAACCCUGAGGAGUGUCUCUUGAGUGUCAGCAAGGCCCCAGAUGUUGAAUCAUCAAAAUACAAAAAAUAAAAAGACAUGCUUAAUUGGAGAAAGAUAAAUACCACAUGAUCUCGCUCAUUUGUGGAAUAAACCGAACAACAUAAACCGAUGAACAAAAAUAGAUCCAGAGACAGAGAAGCAGCGAACUGACAAACCUCAGAGGGAAGGAAGGCUGGGGUGGGGGGUGAGGAGUAAAAGAUCAACCAAAGG